AGUGAACGCUGGCGGUAGGCCUAACACAUGCAAGUCGAACGGCAGCACAGUAAGAGCUUGCUCUUACGGGUGGCGAGUGGCGGACGGGUGAGGAAUACAUCGGAAUCUACUUUUUCGUGGGGGAUAACGUAGGGAAACUUACGCUAAUACCGCAUACGACCUACGGGUGAAAGCAGGGGAUCUUCGGACCUUGCGCGAUUGAAUGAGCCGAUGUCGGAUUAGCUAGUUGGCGGGGUAAAGGCCCACCAAGGCGACGAUCCGUAGCUGGUCUGAGAGGAUGAUCAGCCACACUGGAAGGGAGACACGGUCCAGACUCCUACGAGAGGCAGCAGUGGGGAAUAUUGGACAAUGGGCGCAAGCCUGAUCCAGCCAUACCGCGUGGGUGAAGAAGGCCUUCGGGUUGUAAAGCCCUUUUGUUGGGAAAGAAAAGCAGCAGGUUAAUACCCCGCUGUUCUGACGGUACCCAAAGAAUAAGCACCGGCUAACUUCGUG
RNAcentral lists this ribosomal RNA (492 nucleotides) under uncultured bacterium. RNAcentral's name for it is "partial 16S ribosomal RNA". It matches the Rfam family "Bacterial small subunit ribosomal RNA", at positions 29 to 507 of the family's 1533-position model. The record is from RNAcentral.